GCCAUUUUUCUCGGGGAGGCCAACGUACCAGAACUUGAGGAGCUCGCGCACAUCGGGUACGUUCCAAACUUCUCAAGUCUGUCCGAUGUGGGAGUGUGACUAAGAUUAUCUGCUGCUCGUGUCAAAGCAGGCCUCGUCGCGCUGCUGUUUGUCCCCCGGCAAGCUAACCAAAAGGAACCCCCUCGGCGACAUUCCUUGGCGGAGCCCGAUCUAUGCGUUGGCGGCGAAAACCACGACGUGCGUCUGUUUCGCAGCCGAGGACCCACAAGAGCGCGCAUGUGCGCAUGGCGACUGUGGAUCGACCGUGGAUUUCAGGGCCUGGUCUUCACUUCGCUCUACACCCUGGACCGGCUAUGGCCUUGUGACUAUCUUGUGACUAUCUGGGUCCUUGAGACUGGCAGUGACCUUUGGAGAGACAGUGAGCCCUUGAAGACUGUCAGCGAGGCAGUUUCAGAGCCUUAACCCCCAGACUGGUUGGGGCUCUUCUGCGGCGGUGGUCCGAAAACUGGCGCCCACCACAAUGGGCCUAAUGGCGCCUCCUGAAGCAGCUGCACCCUGUUUGUUGUCGAAGAGGGCAACGACUGCAGCGAGGGCUUGGUGUAGCCCUUGGGAUGACAGCAACCUCUGGACUGGCGGUGAACGGUGCCGUAGUGGUGACCCAUGGAUUUUCAGCUACCCUUCGACAGGUUACCCUUCAGCUACCCUUCGACAGGCUGUGGCUCAGGGACUGGCUUAAUCACCAGAACAGGCUUUCUUCACGUGACUGGCAGCAACUCCUGGACCUAAACUGAGUGUGCCCUCUGGUCAGCGAAGGGGUAAGGUGACUGGCUGAAGACCAGAUAGCAGCUGAUGAAGUGCUUGCACUGUUAUUGUUGUCGCUGUUUUUUACCAAUGGGGCUUCUGCCUCUAAGGUAACUUCCGUCCCAUUUUUGAGAGUUGCAGCCUUGCCGUGGAGCAUGCACAUGUGUACCGCCACACUUUGAGCAAACGUUUGCCCACAAUACACAAUCACAUGCUUGGGGCCAACUACUUUUUUUAUCGUGUCGCCUAUUAGUAUUGCAUUUCUAUAUGGAGUACUUUUGCUAAAAUAUAGCUUCCAAAGCUUGUCGAAUCUCAUCAAUGGAUCAACUGGCUACUCAGGCAAGCAUCACUUACAAGAAAACGUAUUGCAGUUGAUUCUGUAAUUGAAUUCAAUACAAUAAUUACCUUCUUACUUGCUAAUUUGAAGGCCCAUGAAUAUCCCGGAAAGCUGAAGGAAAUUGGCGUGAAGCUUUAGUUUCAUGUUUCAACAUUAGAGCACCGCCUUGUAGACCGACAUAUUCAAUCAAAUCGAACUAUUCGCAGAACUUACAUGAUUACGUAGGCGGCACUGCGAAAUGCAGCUCACUGUGCGAUCCUUUUACGACGUAGAAGGGUGGCGUCAAAUGGAUCUGCCGUCGCACUUUUCCCUUUAAGCGAUAAUAUUUAGAUUGGCGCGAUGUGCAACUCCCGAUUGGAUGCACACAAGUAUUCUCUUCAGCUGCAGUAGCGAUACGGGCGGACACGCAGCGAUUACUUGGCUGCUGGUGAUUCUGGACUGGCAGUGACCCAGGGAUGGGUUGCGACAUGAGGAUUGGCUGCUACUCCGGGAUUAUCCACCGCUGAACUACAGAGUACGCUACCCGUAUAGGCUUUGUUGUGGAAAGUGGGCAGGAACAAUGUACUGGCAAUGGCUCCGGGUCUGGCCGUGGUCCCCAACUGGCUGCAGCCCCGAAAUUGUUGCAGGGCCUGGUCAUCACUUGCAGUGACCUCUGGACAGACAGCGAUGACUUGAGAGCAAACAACCCGAAAACGGCUUGAGGCCCUGGUACGGCGGUAGUCUGAAAACGUCGCGGGCCACAAAUGGCGCCUCCUAAAGCAGUUUCUUCCUGUUUGCUGUGCAAUGUGCGCAUUAACAUUCACAUUUUACUUGUUAUUACAACUGUCAACAUUCUCCCUUUAAGUUUCAUUGGUCUCGCUUCUCCCACUCGCGAACAGUGUUGCCAAAAUGUUUUAGUGGGUCCCUAAAGCGAGAUAAAAAAUCGCUAAAUUUCCGCUAAACAUUCCUUUGAACUAUUGAAAUCCUCGCUGAUGGUUUUAGGUAACAUUUAGGCAACAUAGUUUGGAAUGUUACAGCAUAUGCAAUCGCAUUGGCAUGCCAUAAUGUUUUUACCAAAACGCCUUACGUGGUUCAUGUGAGUAAGGCAUCAAGUGCAAAUUUCCCAGCGGUACAGUAGGCACAUUUUUUGAUAUUGCACUAACGAAAUAACAGUUGAUGACAGUCUAAAUUUUGCGUUUACACCCAUAUUGUGAGGUUACAAAUCGAGCAGGUUUCAAAAGAACGAGAGAAAUCAGGUUUUCCUUGCAUUGAAGGUGCACUCGGUCCCCACGUUAUCACUGAAAGUUGUGAUGUUCUCCGUUCUUCUUGAAGGAUAGCAAAAUUUCAACACAUAAAAGGUCACCUGUUAACGAGGCGAUUUACGUGACCUUCAUUCAAGUCAAGCUACGCUCCUGUGCUUUGGUCUACAUGAAGACUCCUUGCAGUACUGAUUUGUCCAAAACACAUGUGAUAAAGAAACAGUGUACUCAGGUUCCGCGUGAAGGAUCCCCAGUUGCUACCAAGUGUACACUUUUCGACAAGCUGAUCUUACGAUUAAGCUGGUGCGUUCGCAGUCUGGCAAUAAAAUGAGUAAAUGUCCACCAAAUGUCCUUAUUUAGUGAAAGCGAAAUCUAGAAGCUGCAGAACUGGAAGACCUUGUAGUAAGACGUUACCGCUACAGAAUGAAAUUUUUCUUCUUACUCUAUAACAAUCAAUUAGGAAUAGAUAAAACAUCAUGUAUUUUACUGGCUAGUCACCGCUGCACGCGCUCUUAACAAAAAGGUUAGAGAUUUUUUUCUGCAGGACCAACGCAUUUAAACAUUCUUUUUUUCCCCCACACGAUUUCCGAAUGGAACGCACUACCUGCCACAACUGUCGACUGUCCAACGGUUUCAUCCUUUCUUUCUGCACUUUGUGAAUAGGUCAUAGCGUUCAUCCCUCGUUUUUACCAGUCAAAUCUUGAUUGUGAAAGGUUUCUCUUAUGUUGUUUAUUAUGCAGAUUCUUGUUCAGUGUCUGUUUUCUUGUUUGAUCUUAUUUCAUAUUUGUUUUUUUUUUUCAAAUGCCCACUCCUGCCUAAGGCCUGGUAACAAGGCUGGCAGUACUUGUAAAAUAAAUGAAUAAAUAAAAGUGCAGUACCCUAAGUUUUAAAGCCAACUUUGAGAGGUUUCAUAAAAAAAACAA
Non-coding RNA from Dermacentor andersoni, 3299 nucleotides. Lineage: Eukaryota; Metazoa; Arthropoda; Arachnida; Ixodida; Ixodidae. The record is from RefSeq and is a predicted model, not a curated record.